This 100-nucleotide signal recognition particle RNA is filed under the name Caldilineaceae bacterium. RNAcentral describes it as "signal recognition particle sRNA small type". It matches the Rfam family "Bacterial small signal recognition particle RNA". Rfam says of the family: The signal recognition particle (SRP) is a universally conserved ribonucleoprotein involved in the co-translational targeting of proteins to membranes. The record is from RNAcentral. Lineage: Bacteria; Bacillati; Chloroflexota; Caldilineae; Caldilineales; Caldilineaceae.
CGCUGGGUCCUGUGCGGCAGAACACUGUGAACCCCGCCAGGGCCGGAAGGCAGCAACGGUAAGCCGACUUCGUUGGGCGCCAUGGGGUCGCCGGGCUUGA